This 755-nucleotide ribosomal RNA is filed under the name Citrobacter freundii. RNAcentral describes it as "bacterial LSU rRNA". It matches the Rfam family "Bacterial large subunit ribosomal RNA", at positions 1201 to 1936 of the family's 2925-position model. Lineage: Bacteria; Pseudomonadati; Pseudomonadota; Gammaproteobacteria; Enterobacterales; Enterobacteriaceae. The record is from RNAcentral.
UGCGGCAGCGACACUAUGUGUUGUUGGGUAGGGGAGCGUUCUGGAAGCCGUUGAAGGUGUAUCGUGAGGUAUGCUGGAGGUAUCAGAAGUGCGAAUGCUGACAUAAGUAACGAUAAUGCGGGUGAAAAACCCGCACGCCGGAAGACCAAGGGUUCCUGUCCAACGUUAAUCGGGGCAGGGUGAGUCGACCCCUAAGGCGAGGCCGAAAGGCGUAGUCGAUGGGAAACAGGUUAAUAUUCCUGUACUUGGUGUUACUGCGAAGGGGGGACGGAGAAGGCUAUGUUAGCCGGGCGACGGUUGUCCCGGUUUAAGCAUGUAGGCGGAGGUUCCAGGUAAAUCCGGUACCUUUUAACGCUGAGGUGUGAUGACGAGGCACUACGGUGCUGAAGUAACAAAUGCCCUGCUUCCAGGAAAAGCCUCUAAGCAUCAGGUAACACGAAAUCGUACCCCAAACCGACACAGGUGGUCAGGUAGAGAAUACCAAGGCGCUUGAGAGAACUCGGGUGAAGGAACUAGGCAAAAUGGUGCCGUAACUUCGGGAGAAGGCACGCUGAUAUGUAGGUGAAGUGAUUUACUCAUGGAGCUGAAAUCAGUCGAAGAUACCAGCUGGCUGCAACUGUUUAUUAAAAACACAGCACUGUGCAAACACGAAAGUGGACGUAUACGGUGUGACGCCUGCCCGGUGCCGGAAGGUUAAUUGAUGGGGUUAUCCGUAAGGAGAAGCUCUUGAUCGAAGCCCCGGUAAACGGCGGCCG